AUGGUGCGGGCGAGCCCCUGCUCCGGACGGCCCCCUGCCUUUCGAUGUGGGGACGCUUUCUUGUUUGAGAUUGCGGAUUUGGACGAUGGCGUCGAGAUGCGGUUUCAAAAUGCACAGUAGUCUUCAACAAGGAAAUAAAAUUAUGUGUUCAACAUAAAGGUUUCCUUUAAAAUAGGUAUUGAGGGAAUUCAAAGGAGCCAACUUGUAAAAACAAUUCGUUUUGUCUUUAAGAUUAGUUAGAACCUGUUUCAGUUCAUUUGGUUAGGCAAAAUUAACUAAUCUAUAAAAAGUGUGUGUGUGUGUGUGUGUGUGUUUGUGUGUGUGUGUAGAUGCAAAGGUAGGUAUAUCUCCUUGUCUUGAUAAUACAGGUUUUCUAUACGGGUAAAACUAAAACUAGACUGAACAGCUUUCUGAGUUUCCACUGUUUAAAAUACGCUGAUUCUGAUUCUUAGAAUAGGUGAGAACUUUUAAAAAUCCUUUGAAAUUUCGCUUCUUGAAUAUAUGGAAAUUGUUUUAAAUGUGUUUCUAAACGUUUGAGUCUAAUAUCGGAGUAAAGGGAAAUUCGAAGUACCAAAGCUUGAGGAGUAGCCCUGUUAAGUAUCUUUUACCCUAAACGACGUUUUCUAGGUAUUCGAACAAGAAGAUAAAGGAUAAUCUGGGGAGAAAACUGACAAAUAACAAGGCUCGUAUUGAUGCAGUUUUUAGCUUCAGUUUCAUGCCUUCUUCAAAAACAAAAUAACAUGAUUUCACUUAAUUGAACACACAACAAGAAUUAGAGACUUGGAAAUGACAAAGACAGGAACGGAUGCCUCCAGAAAAGAUGAUGACAUUAAUGACAUACUUCAUUUCAAGAGACAUGAGCUCAUUUCCUGUGAGAGGGAUUCCUACCAAAUGAGAUUUGAUGCUAAAUAAAUUUAUCUUACAGACCUUCCUUAAA
Cricetulus griseus (Chinese hamster) is the source of this 937-nucleotide non-coding RNA. The record is from RefSeq and is a predicted model, not a curated record. NCBI's taxonomy places the organism in Eukaryota, Metazoa, Chordata, Mammalia, Rodentia, Cricetidae.